GCAGCCGCGGUAAUACGUAGGUGGCGAGCGUUAUCCGGAAUUACUGGGUGUAAAGGGUGUGUAGGCGGGCUUGCAAGUCAGAUGUGAAAACUAUGGGCUCAACCCAUAGCCUGCAUUUGAAACUGUAGGUCUUGAGAGUCGGAGAGGUAAACGGAAUUCCGAGUGUAGCGGUGAAAUGCGUAGAUAUUCGGAGGAACACCGGUGGCGAAGGCGGUUUACUGGACGACAACUGACGCUGAGACACGAAAGCGUGGGGAGCAAACAGGAUUAGAUACCCC
Molecule: ribosomal RNA, 278 nt
Filed under: uncultured Oscillospiraceae bacterium
Lineage: Bacteria; Bacillati; Bacillota; Clostridia; Eubacteriales; Oscillospiraceae
Description: partial 16S ribosomal RNA
Rfam family: Bacterial small subunit ribosomal RNA
Source: RNAcentral